GACGCAAGCUCGAUGGUUAGAGCACUGGUCUUGUAAACCAGGGGUCGUGGGUUCAAUCCUCAUAGUGGCU
This is a non-coding RNA of Araneus ventricosus, 70 nucleotides long. Lineage: Eukaryota; Metazoa; Arthropoda; Arachnida; Araneae; Araneidae. The record is from the annotation of a GenBank genome assembly.